Long non-coding RNA from Oreochromis niloticus (Nile tilapia), 1414 nucleotides. RefSeq lists it as uncharacterized. The record is from RefSeq and is a predicted model, not a curated record. NCBI's taxonomy places the organism in Eukaryota, Metazoa, Chordata, Actinopteri, Cichliformes, Cichlidae. The transcript has 3 exons.
GCUCCAUCAGUGCAGUUCACUCCACAGACAGACUGUACACAGAUGGGAGGCCCCCUGCUGUGACGUCCUGUGGUCACACACAUGCAAACACAUAUGUGCACGUAGACACAGACGGGAGCACUUCAACCACCUCUGCCCGGACUCAUUAAAUAUUUAGCAGGAUUUGUAAUAAUUUGUCAGCAGAGAGCGAGUCACGGUCAGAUCGGCGGUAACUCUACACCACAGUUCCUGAAGAGCAGAUCUCAGACGAUCGAUGGACGCUCUGUCCGUUAACGUCAGCGUGAAAGCUGCGCUGAUGUCAGAGUAUUUACAGCAGGAGCUGACUCUCCAGAGAGCCUCUCCGCCCACGGUCUGAUAGUGAUGGCGGUGCUUCAGCGGCGAGCUGGAGGACGUUUCCCCAACAUGGAGGAGGGACACGCUGCAGAGGCAGCUGGUUUUCAUUUCCUGUGAAGAGCUUGCGACAUCACCAGGUUUUUGCAUCUCAGACUGAUCCGAGUUAUUCUGUGAUCAGAGCAAAGACCUGAGUCACUGUCGGAUCAGACCUGAGUCACCACCAGCCGCCUGCAGAGGAGCAUCCAAGGACACGACAGAGUCUGCAUGAAGAAACAGGAGCACCUCCAGCCCCGCUGGUAAACAGUCUUUACCGUUAAAUAAUGCCCUGUGUGACACCACAGGUGUGUGUGUGUCUGUGUGUGAUACCGCAGGUGUCACACAAACGCUGUGAUGUAUCCACAGACUGCUCUUCUCUACGAUAUUUAAGUUAUCGAUCGAUUAGUCUGGAAACCUGCUCUUGUUCAGAAAAAAAUAGAUCUGUGUCACUGUAAACUAAUCCUCCUCCUCUCAAUCCAGACUAUUAAAAAAUUAGCUCAUUUGAAAUAAUAAGUGUUUGUGGCCUUAAAUAUAAAACUAGCACAGAUUGACUUUCUGUCCUUGAGUUCAGCUAAUAAACGAUCCACUGUAUUAUUAAACCAUCGUUAUAAUGAAGUUGAAGCCACAGCCUUGAGGAACGCUUAGAGUCAAACUGCAUCAACUGGUUUCAUUAUUAUUUAAGUUGAGGAUGUUUCAUGUGAUCAACACUCGAAGACCCAGUGUUUAGUUUACGAUACUGUGCAAAAGUCUUGAGCCAAAACUCAUUGUAUUUUGCUUUUAAGGAGUCAAGAGUUUCUAUGAAUUUUUAAAGUGCUCUUAAACAGCAGUACAAGUUCCUCUUUGGAGACUGGCUGCUUUUUCCACUUCAUUUCAGUCCAGUCCUCGUACCAGAGCAUUUCCACAGGAUCGUGUUUGUUAAUCCUCUGAACUCUGACGUGUGAAUCAUUCAAACAUAAAAAGGCUCCAAAUUCAAAGAUGAACCAGUGCUGUAUCUGCACAUGACGGCCACCUGAGCAACGAAUCAUCAUGUCUUUUAUUACCAGAU